Molecule: ribosomal RNA, 515 nt
Filed under: uncultured bacterium
Lineage: Bacteria
Description: partial 16S ribosomal RNA
Rfam family: Bacterial small subunit ribosomal RNA
Source: RNAcentral
GAUGAACGCUGGCGGCGUGCCUAAUACAUGCAAGUCGAGCGAAUGGAUUAAGAGCUUGCUCUUAUGAAGUUAGCGGCGGACGGGUGAGUAACACGUGGGUAACCUGCCCAUAAGACUGGGAUAACUCCGGGAAACCGGGGCUAAUACCGGAUAACAUUUUGAACCGCAUGGUUCGAAAUUGAAAGGCGGCUUCGGCUGUCACUUAUGGAUGGACCCGCGUCGCAUUAGCUAGUUGGUGAGGUAACGGCUCACCAAGGCAACGAUGCGUAGCCGUCCUGGGAGGGUGAUCGGCCACACUGGGACUGAGAGACGGCCCAGACUCCUACGGGCGGCAGCAGUAGGGAAUCUUCAGCAAUGGACGAAAGGCUGACGGAGCAACGCCGCGUGGGUGAUGAAGGCUUUCUGGUCGUAAAACUCUGUUGUUAGGGAAGAACAAGUGCUAGUUGAAUAAGCUGGCACCUUGACGGUACCUAACCAGAAAGCCACGGCUAACUACGUGCCAGCAGCCGCGGUAA